Molecule: ribosomal RNA, 581 nt
Filed under: Irpex lacteus
Lineage: Eukaryota; Fungi; Basidiomycota; Agaricomycetes; Polyporales; Irpicaceae
Description: LSU rRNA
Rfam family: Eukaryotic large subunit ribosomal RNA
Source: RNAcentral
AAACUAACAAGGAUUCCCCUAGUAACUGCGAGUGAAGCGGGAAAAGCUCAAAUUUAAAAUCUGGCGGCUUUGGUCGUCCGAGUUGUAUUCUAGAGAAGUGUUUUCCGCGUUGGACCGUGUAUAAGUCUCUUGGAAUAGAGCGUCAUAGAGGGUGAGAAUCCCGUCUUUGACACGGACUACCAAUGCUUUGUGAUACACUCUCAAAGAGUCGAGUUGUUUGGGAAUGCAGCUCAAAAUGGGUGGUAAAUUCCAUCUAAAGCUAAAUAUUGGCGAGAGACCGAUAGCGAACAAGUACCGUGAGGGAAAGAUGAAAAGCACUUUGGAAAGAGAGUUAAACAGUACGUGAAAUUGCUGAAAGGGAAACGCUUGAAGUCAGUCGCGUUAGCUAGAACUCAACCAGGCUUGCUUGGCGUAUUUUCUAGUUAACGGGCCAGCAUCAGUUUUGACCGCAGGAAAAGGGCCAGGGAAAUGUGGCAUCUUCGGAUGUGUUAUAGUCUCUGGUCGUAUACUGUGAUUGGGACUGAGGACCGCAGCACGCGCAAGCUGUGCUUAGGAUGCUGGCGUAAUGGCUUUAAACGACC